ACUGCAAUGAUAAGCUUCUAACACGUAAGAAGAUCCUUUCAACUAAUCGGCCCUCGAAUGAAAUAUACUUCAUACCUGGCUUCUGAGCUUU
Molecule: small nucleolar RNA, 91 nt
Organism: Elaeis guineensis (African oil palm)
Lineage: Eukaryota; Viridiplantae; Streptophyta; Magnoliopsida; Arecales; Arecaceae
Product: small nucleolar RNA R24
Source: RefSeq, a predicted model, not a curated record